GCUUUGUGGUUCACUGAUUUGAAGAGCUUGCUCAGAUAUGACGAUGGACAUUGCAAAGAGUGGCGAACGGGUGAGUAACACGUGGGAAACCUACCUCUUAGCAGGGGAUAACAUUUGGAAACAGAUGCUAAUACCGUAUAACAAUGACAACCGCAUGGUUGUUAUUUAAAAGAUGGUUCUGCUAUCACUAAGAGAUGGUCCCGCGGUGCAUUAGCUAGUUGGUAAGGUAAUGGCUUACCAAGGCGAUGAUGCAUAGCCGAGUUGAGAGACUGAUCGGCCACAAUGGGACUGAGACACGGCCCAUACUCCUACGGGAGGCAGCAGUAGGGAAUCUUCCACAAUGGGCGAAAGCCUGAUGGAGCAACGCCGCGUGUGUGAUGAAGGGUUUCGGCUCGUAAAACACUGUUGUAAGAGAAGAAUGACAUUGAGAGUAACUGUUCAAUGUGUGACGGUAUCUUACCAGAAAGGAACGGCUAAAUACGUGCCAGCAGCCGCGGUAAUACGUAUGUUCCAAGCGUUAUCCGGAUUUAUUGGGCGUAAAGCGAGCGCAGACGGUUAUUUAAGUCUGAAGUGAAAGCCCUCAGCUCAACUGAGGAAUUGCUUUGGAAACUGGAUGACUUGAGUGCAGUAGAGGAAAGUGGAACUCCAUGUGUAGCGGUGAAAUGCGUAGAUAUAUGGAAGAACACCAGUGGCGAAGGCGGCUUUCUGGACUGUAACUGACGUUGAGGCUCGAAAGUGUGGGUAGCAAACAGGAUUAGAUACCCUGGUAGUCCACACCGUAAACGAUGAGUGCUAGGUGUUUGAGGGUUUCCGCCCUUAAGUGCCGCAGCUAACGCAUUAAGCACUCCGCCUGGGGAGUACGACCGCAAGGUUGAAACUCAAAGGAAUUGACGGGGACCCGCACAAGCGGUGGAGCAUGUGGUUUAAUUCGAAGCAACGCGAAGAACCUUACCAGGUCUUGACAUCCCUUGACAACUCCAGAGAUGGAGCGUUCCCUUCGGGGACAAGGUGACAGGUGGUGCAUGGUUGUCGUCAGCUCGUGUCGUGAGAUGUUGGGUUAAGUCCCGCAACGAGCGCAACCCUUAUUACUAGUUGCCAGCAUUCAGUUGGGCACUCUAGUGAGACUGCCGGUGACAAACCGGAGGAAGGUGGGGAUGACGUCAAAUCAUCAUGCCCCUUAUGACCUGGGCUACACACGUGCUACAAUGGCGUAUACAACGAGUUGCCAACCCGCGAGGGUGAGCUAAUCUCUUAAAGUACGUCUCAGUUCGGAUUGUAGGCUGCAACUCGCCUACAUGAAGUCGGAAUCGCUAGUAAUCGCGGAUCAGCACGCCGCGGUGAAUACGUUCCCGGGUCUUGUACACACCGCCCGUCACACCAUGAGAGUUUGUAACACCCAAAGCCGGUGG
This 1409-nucleotide ribosomal RNA is filed under the name Weissella confusa. RNAcentral describes it as "bacterial SSU rRNA". It matches the Rfam family "Bacterial small subunit ribosomal RNA". The record is from RNAcentral. Lineage: Bacteria; Bacillati; Bacillota; Bacilli; Lactobacillales; Lactobacillaceae.